RNAcentral lists this small RNA (538 nucleotides) under Pongo abelii (Sumatran orangutan). RNAcentral's name for it is "processed transcript". The record is from RNAcentral. Lineage: Eukaryota; Metazoa; Chordata; Mammalia; Primates; Hominidae.
CACUUCUCUCCUGGUGAACAAGUGGAAGGAGGGUGGCUGGGAUGAUGCAGAAGCCGUUUUUUCAGGACAGGAGGGGAAGAUAAACUGUGUGACAUUCCCUCACCCAGACACGAUGCCGGAACAGCAGCUGCUGAAACCAACCGAGUGGAGCUACUGCGACUACUUCUGGGCUGAUAGGAAGGACCCCCAAGGCAACGGCACUGUGGCUGGGUUUGAACUACUGCUCCAGAAACAGCUGAAGGGCAAACAAAUGCAGAAGGAAAUGUCAGAAUUCAUCCGGGAAAGGAUAAAGAUUGAAGAAGACUAUGCGAAGAACUUAGCUAAGCUCUCUCAGAACUCUUUGGCUUCACAGGAGGAAGGCUCCUUGGGAGAGGCGUGGGCUCAGGUGAAGAAGAGCCUGGCGGACGAAGCAGAAGUUCACCUCAAGUUCUCUGCCAAGCUUCACAGUGAGGUGGAGAAGCCCCUGAUGAACUUCCGUGAGAACUUCAAGAAAGACAUGAAGAAGUGCGACCACCACAUUGCCGACCUUCGCAAGCAG